RNAcentral lists this ribosomal RNA (439 nucleotides) under uncultured bacterium. RNAcentral's name for it is "bacterial SSU rRNA". It matches the Rfam family "Bacterial small subunit ribosomal RNA", at positions 958 to 1397 of the family's 1533-position model. The record is from RNAcentral.
AACGCGAAGAACCUUACCUACUCUUGAAUCCACAGGAGAUUGCAGAGAUGCGAUUGUGCCGAAAGGAACUGUGAGACAGGUGCUGCAUGGCUGUCGUCAGCUCGUGUCGUGAGAUGUUGGGUUAAGUCCCGUAACGAGCGCAACCCUUGUCCUUAGUUACUAACGGGUAAAGCCGAGGACUCUAAGGAGACCGCCGGUGAUAAACCGGAGGAAGGUGGGGACGAUGUCAAGUCAUCAUGGCCCUUACGAGUAGGGCUACACACGUGCUACAAUGGUUGGUACAAAGGGCCGCUAAGUCGCGAGAUGGAGCAAAUCCUAAAAAACCAAUCGUAGUCCGGAUUGGAGUCUGCAACUCGACUCCAUGAAGCUGGAAUCGCUAGUAAUCGUGGAUCAGAACGCCACGGUGAAUACGUUCCCGGGCCUUGUACACACCGGCUAC